AACGAACGCUGGCGGCAUGCCUAACACAUGCAAGUCGAACGAUAACUUCGGGUCUAGUGUCGCACGGGUGCGUAACGCGUGGGAACCUGCCCUUAGCUUCGGAACAACUUCCCGAAAGGGGUGCUAAUAUCGGAUAAUUACUUCGUACCAAGGAUUUGUCCCCUUUGGAUGGGGCCGAGCUGCGUUAGUUAGUGGGUAGGGUGAAAGCCUACCGAGGCGACGAGACAUAGCUGGUAUGAGAGGAUGAUCAGCCACACUGGGACUGGGACACGGCCCAGACUCGUGCGGGAGGCGGGAAAGGGUGAUAUAGGAAAGUGGGCGGGAGGCAGAACCACCACGGGCGGGUGAGUGAUGAAGGCGUUGGGGUUGGAAAGCUCUUUUAACCGGGAUGAUAAUGACGGUACCGGGAGAAUAAGCACCGGCUAACUCCGUG
This 433-nucleotide ribosomal RNA is filed under the name uncultured bacterium. RNAcentral's name for it is "partial 16S ribosomal RNA". It matches the Rfam family "Bacterial small subunit ribosomal RNA", at positions 29 to 507 of the family's 1533-position model. The record is from RNAcentral.